GUCGAGCGGACUUGANGAGAAGCUUGCUUCUCUGAUGGUUAGCGGCGGACGGGUGAGUAACACGUAGGCAACCUGCCCUCAAGUUUGGGACAACUACCGGAAACGGUAGCUAAUACCGAAUAAUUGUUUUCUUCGCCUGAAGGAAACUGGAAAGACGGAGCAAUCUGUCACUUGGGGAUGGGCCUGCGGCGCAUUAGCUAGUUGGUGAGGUAACGGCUCACCAAGGCGACGAUGCGUAGCCGACCUGAGAGGGUGAUCGGCCACACUGGGACUGAGACACGGCCCAGACUCCUACGGGAGGCAGCAGUAGGGAAUCUUCCGCAAUGGGCGAAAGCCUGACGGAGCAAUGCCGCGUGAGUGAUGAAGGUUUUCGGAUCGUAAAGCUCUGUUGCCAGGGAAGAACGCUUGGGAGAGUAACUGCUCUCAAGGUGACGGUACCUGAGAAGAAAGCCCCGGCUAACUACGUGCCAGCAGCCGCGGUAAUACGUAGGGGGCAAGCGUUGUCCGGAAUUAUUGGGCGUAAAGCGCGCGCAGGCGGUCAUUUAAGUCUGGUGUUUAAUCCCGGGGCUCAACCCCGGAUCGCACUGGAAACUGGGUGACUUGAGUGCAGAAGAGGAGAGUGGAAUUCCACGUGUAGCGGUGAAAUGCGUAGAUAUGUGGAGGAACAC
Molecule: ribosomal RNA, 668 nt
Filed under: Paenibacillus amylolyticus
Lineage: Bacteria; Bacillati; Bacillota; Bacilli; Caryophanales; Paenibacillaceae
Description: bacterial SSU rRNA
Rfam family: Bacterial small subunit ribosomal RNA
Source: RNAcentral